Hordeum vulgare subsp. vulgare (domesticated barley) is the source of this 567-nucleotide long non-coding RNA. RefSeq lists it as uncharacterized. The transcript is spliced from 3 exons. The record is from RefSeq and is a predicted model, not a curated record. Lineage: Eukaryota; Viridiplantae; Streptophyta; Magnoliopsida; Poales; Poaceae.
AGGCGCACACCGGCAACCAGGGGCAACCAGUGGGAAAACAUGGACGCUACCUCCAGGCCCAUCCCUUCCUCCUUGUGCACCACCUGAAUCGCGAUUGGGGAAUGUGUUGUCUGAUGCGGGUGAAUGAAGGUCAUCCAUGUAUGCGGGACCAUAUACAAGAUAAAUGGUGCAUUGGAUGAACUUGUUACUACAGAGUUUUCCACAUUCAUUCUAUGCCCAUUACUCAUUUGCUUCGUAAGUUCCUACAAUAUUGUUUAUGUUGAUUUAUUCCACUCAUAAUCAUAAUUCACCGGGCCGCCGUCGCCGCCACGUUGAGGCCUUGGACACCAAGCGACAUCCUUUCCCAUGAGGCUUAAUUCAGUACAUGCUUCUCUGAAUUUCUACGAGCUUAAUUCAGAACAAUAGAUCAUUGGGAGUGCUUCUACUUGAGUUCAUAUUGGGUGUAUAUUCCAGUUGUAAUAUGCCCCCAAACUGUAGCAUUGGCACUAUCUUGCAUGUUCGCUCAUGCCAGGAGCAGUAUUGCGUGCCACUAUGACAUCUGCAUGCCCAUGACGGUCUGUGGCAUGG